Molecule: long non-coding RNA, 227 nt
Filed under: Mustela putorius furo (domestic ferret)
Lineage: Eukaryota; Metazoa; Chordata; Mammalia; Carnivora; Mustelidae
Description: lncRNA (ENSMPUG00000025018.1)
Source: RNAcentral
GGGGUUCACACCCAAGCGAUGGCGUGGUGUUUCUUUGUGUUUUUUUUUUUUUUUUUUUCUUUUAAGAUUUUUUGAGGAACAAAAGGGAAGCAUUCUAAAGAAAUAAGGGUUGCACUUGCGCAAGGGCAAGAGGAAACCAGGUAAAGCUUGGACAAUCGCCUCGCACAGUGGCUGGCACAAAGUAAAUGCUCAAUCCGUUGUUAUUAUUAUUAUUGUUAUUGUUAUGG